Molecule: long non-coding RNA, 85 nt
Organism: Sinocyclocheilus anshuiensis
Lineage: Eukaryota; Metazoa; Chordata; Actinopteri; Cypriniformes; Cyprinidae
Exons: 3
Source: RefSeq, a predicted model, not a curated record
UGAGCUAAAUUCACUACAACUGUCUCACAAAUUAAUUAGGUUGAACAGCUGUCAGUUGUUAAAUUUAAGUACACAAUUAGACUAU